CCUACGGGAGACAGCAGUGGGGAAUCUUCCGCAAUGGGCGAAAGCCUGACGGAGCAACGCCGCGUGAUCGAAUGAAGGCCUUCGGGUUGUAAAGAUCUGUUGACAGGGACGAAUAAGCAAUGCGAAUAGUUUUGUGUAUGACGGUACCUGACUAAGAAGCCCCGGCUAACUACGUGCCAGCAGCCGCGGUAAUACGUAGGGGGCAAGCGUUAUCCGGAUUUACUGGGUGUAAAGGGAUCGUAGACGGCAGGGCAAGUCUGAAGUGAAAGCCCGCGGCCCAACGGCGGGACUGCUUUGGAAACUGGCCGGCUGGAGUGCUGGAGAGGUAAGCGGAAUUCCUGGUGUAGCGGUGAAAUGCGUAGAUAUUAGGAGGAACACCAGUGGCGAAGGCGGCUUACUGGACAGUAACUGACGUUGAGGCUCGAAAGCGUGGGGAGCAAACAGGAUUAGAUACCCUGGUAGUC
Molecule: ribosomal RNA, 464 nt
Filed under: uncultured bacterium
Lineage: Bacteria
Description: partial 16S ribosomal RNA
Rfam family: Bacterial small subunit ribosomal RNA
Source: RNAcentral